Molecule: long non-coding RNA, 2840 nt
Organism: Thamnophis elegans (Western terrestrial garter snake)
Lineage: Eukaryota; Metazoa; Chordata; Lepidosauria; Squamata; Natricidae
Exons: 2
Source: RefSeq, a predicted model, not a curated record
UGGGCGGAGCGAUUGAUCGAACUAAAGUGGUAGUUUCCGAAUGACGAGCGGACCUCCGGAAAUCUCUAAGCAGGCCAAGAGCCAAGUACUGCAUGUUUUUUCUGCAUAUGUGUCAGCUGGAAUUUGUACAUCAGAAAAAGACUUGUAGCAAUCCUCACAAGUCCAAUAGCCCGUUGGCAUCUCAUAUUUUUCAGGUAAGAAAUCCUUUUGAACAGGAGGGACCACUGUUCUAUCUUUUCCAUGUCUUGCACAAUUAAGAAAUGAUUCUGUCCCAUUCCCCCGCUCCCACAUGCCCGAGGCCCUCUUCUAAGUAAGAUGAAGGUAACCACAUAAUGGCUAGCUCAUGAGCCAAGCCGUAUUCCCAUCUUAAUUAUGGGCUUUAUGAAAGACAGAUAUAGCUACAUUUCACUAGCUAAACACUCAGCAAAAUGAGGAAUUGAGGGCCAUUCAUUUGCAAGAGAGCUGAAUGCAUAUCUACCAAACAAUACAAUGGAAAAGGACAUUGUACUUGGAUCUAGAAAAACUCCAGAAAAUUCUUACAUGUUUUUUGGUUCUUUUUAACUUUAAGUGGACAUAAAAUCAUAAUCUCAUUACCAGAUAGACUUGAAAUUUAGAACCAAAUGUUAUAUUCAGCAAGUUUUACGUGCCCAUGCUGGUUCCCUAUCAAUUUUCUUGUGAACAUUGGUGAUGUUCUGGGGUAGUGCCGAAUUAGUUUUUGAACUCAUGCCAUGGCAAAAGCUGUAUUUAGAUGGCAGUAUCAGAAUUAGCCAAGAAAUUAUAUGGAUUACUCAUGAAAGGAUGAUGUUUUGGAGAAUCUAUAGUAUGUGCACUGCUUAUGUCACAGAGGCAAAUUCAACAUAAAAUUAGACUGUGAAGUACCUUAUACCAUUGCAAACGAUGAUGCCAUCCACUUUUCCUUUUGAUAUCUGAUGCCUUUAUAUUAGAAUUUAAUCAGUACUUUGGCUAUCAAAUCACAAACUGGGCUUCCCAAACUUUCCAUUGACAGACAGCAGUCAUUGAAUGAGAUCUUCCAGCAGGCUGAACAGCUCAACCAUACAAAAAUGUAGUUUCUUCACUAUGUUCUGACAUGUCAACACCCCUUUGGCACAGUCGUAGUGGCUCAGUAAAAUGCUAAAAGUAGAGUUUUGGAGAUCCAAAAUGUGAAUCCCAAAUAAUGAAUAAGAUAAACACUGUAUAAAAUUUAAUUUCUGAUCAUAACAUUCCAAUUGAUGCCUGCAUUUGUAAAAUGCAUUGUUUUGAAGCCCAAUGAAUGUGAAGACAUAGCUUCCACUAGCCUGAACCACUCCUCUCCCCUUAAAAAACAUACUUCUGACAAGAUAUUUUAAGAAUAACUGAAGAACCAUUUCUCAUUUUAUCAGUGAAAAGAAUAAAGUCACUAGUUUUAAGCACCAGUACAUGGGUUUUAGGCUAUUUAAACAAAGCCAUAGGGCCCCAGACUUUUAUAGGAGUAAAGGUCUAUCAUACCACAAGGUCUGGAGAAUACAUUCAGUUGUCAAGAGCUUACCAGAAAGAUAUAUUCCUGAGUAGGGCUUUAAGACACUAGCUUAAUUCUUGAAGCUAACUUAGCCCCUUUAAAUUCUAAACAAUUUGCCUAAUUGCAUCUUAGCAUGCAGCAGUCACUAGUAGAAUUUAAAAGUAUUUACUGUUUCUGCAUUCCUCAUUUCACAAUGUAACAUACCAUGGGUGGUUGUUAAUUAUCUCUAUUUGUUCAUAUACUUAUUCUAUCCAUAAUGCCAAAACCAGCUGGUCUUUUCUAAUCCCCCUAAAAAACCCCACCCCAUCUUAAAUGCCAUUUAGAGGUGUUGUAAGGAGUAGGUGUGUGGAAAUGUAACCCUUGCUAAAUUGCUGGUCAUAGUUAUAAUUAUAACUCUAUAUGGAAGCAACAAACUUUAGAAUCAGAUAGCUCACAAUCUAAAUUCCCCACCUACUUACAAUUUCUUUGGGGACUGUGACAUGAUUAAAUAAGGAUAAUCUGUUGUUAAAAAUUUAAAAAACGGUCAGAAAAAGGUCUUGUUCUACCAGAUAGUGACAUAGAUAAUACAAGAGGAAGGCAUGGGAUCAAUGUCUUACAGUCUAUCACAUUGGGUAGCUGGUAGGACCAUAUUACAAAUGUAUAUCAUGUCCUCCAUUUACACUUACAGCUUUAUUGGCAUUAUAAAAUUCUAAUAGAAUUUUAAGAGCAUAUUGAAUUAACCCCAUAACAUUCUGCACUGCCAGUAAGUUUCAUGAUCACAUUUUUGAAAAGCAUAUUUUUUCCAGGCACAACUACAAGGGUAACCUAACCUCUUUUGGAAUCUCUUGUACCCAAAGGACCCUACUUCAUACCCUUCCUUCCUGGGGCAGAAUAGCCAUCUUCAAAAAAUGGUUAUUGUUUAGAAGUUCCACAAGAAUGCCAGGUGAAAAUCUUUUGUGCCCAAAAGCUUCAAUGCUCAGCUUUCGAUUGAAAUAUUGCACAGCAUUUAAUUUAGAUUAAAGCUAUCCCUAUGUGGGAUUCUUUGUGGGCAGAGUGGGAGAAAAACAGUUAGAUGGCUUUCUCUCCAUAACAACAAAAUCUUCCUUUUUAAACACUUGUGUUGACUUUGGAAGAGCAUUUCUUAAUCCAUACUGUGAUCUAUUAAAAAUGGCACCUGCUUUCAAUGGCCAUCAAGAGUAAAGCUCCCUCAAGCAUUUUGUAGAAACAGUGAAGAGAUGACUUCUGAAUCUGCUCAGUGGCAGAACACAGGCUCUAGGCGCUUCCUAGUAACGCUUAACCUUCUGUAUAGACAAGCAGACUCAUCUUUUGGCCUUAACUAAAACAAUGUUUAACAAUAUGUUUGAAA